CCAACGGCAAUGCAGGGUCAGGUAAGAAUGUCUGGGGUUGCCAACACUCUUUCACAGGUUUGAGCAGCGGUAACACAUUUUGGGUAGCCCAGUUUUCUAGUGACUUGAAAAUCUCUUGCUUUUCAGGUGGCAUGGAGUGGGUUUUUUGAGGUUUUGGAGGAGCUGCCGCCACGGCAGAGAUAGGGGAGAAUCUGACGGUGGAGGUUGGUGGAGGGAUGCGGCGGCAGUGGACAUCUGGGAUCCUCCAAGGCAGAGUUUUGGUAGAGACUAGGCUGUGUGUGAAUUGCAUGGUGGCAGUGUAGUUGAGUCAGUGUCUCAAGAAUUUU
Molecule: long non-coding RNA, 326 nt
Filed under: Gossypium barbadense (sea-island cotton)
Lineage: Eukaryota; Viridiplantae; Streptophyta; Magnoliopsida; Malvales; Malvaceae
Description: long non-coding RNA (GBAR_LNC014888)
Source: RNAcentral